Molecule: ribosomal RNA, 466 nt
Filed under: uncultured bacterium
Lineage: Bacteria
Description: partial 16S ribosomal RNA
Rfam family: Bacterial small subunit ribosomal RNA
Source: RNAcentral
GACGAACGCUGGCGGCGUGCUUAACACAUGCAAGUCGAACGGUAAGGCUCCAGCUUGCUGGGGUACACGAGUGGCGAACGGGUGAGUAACACGUGGGUGACCUGCCCUGCACUUCGGGAUAAGCCUGGGAAACUAGGUCUAAUACCGGAUAGGACCAUGGUGUGGAUACUGUGGUGGAAAGUUUUUUCGGUGUGGGAUGGGCCCGCGGCCUAUCAGCUUGUUGGUGGGGUAAUGGCCUACCAAGGCGGCGACGGGUAGCCGGCCUGAGAGGGUGGACGGCCACAUUGGGACUGAGACACGGCCCAGACUCCUACGGGAGGCAGCAGUGGGGAAUAUUGCACAAUGGGCGGAAGCCUGAUGCAGCGACGCCGCGUGGGGGAUGACGGCCUUCGGGUUGUAAACUCCUUUCACCAUCGACGAAGGGUUUCUGACGGUAGAUGGAGAAGAAGCACCGGCUAACUACGUG